Molecule: ribosomal RNA, 2921 nt
Filed under: Bacillus sp. UMTAT18
Lineage: Bacteria; Bacillati; Bacillota; Bacilli; Caryophanales; Bacillaceae
Description: bacterial LSU rRNA
Rfam family: Bacterial large subunit ribosomal RNA
Source: RNAcentral
GUUAAGUUAGAAAGGGCGCACGGUGGAUGCCUUGACACUAGGAGUCGAUGAAGGACGGGACUAACGCCGAUAUGCUUCGGGGAGCUGUAAGUAAGCUUUGAUCCGAAGAUUUCCGAAUGGGGAAACCCACCAUACGUAAUGGUAUGGUAUCCUUAUCUGAAUACAUAGGGUAAGGAAGACAGACCCAGGGAACUGAAACAUCUAAGUACCUGGAGGAAGAGAAAGCAAAUGCGAUUUCCUGAGUAGCGGCGAGCGAAACGGAACAUAGCCCAAACCAAGAGGCUUGCCUCUUGGGGUUGUAGGACAUUCUAUACGGAGUUACAAAGGAACGAGGUAGACGAAGCGACCUGGAAAGGUCCGUCGUAGAGGGUAACAACCCCGUAGUCGAAACUUCGUUCUCUCUUGAAUGUAUCCUGAGUACGGCGGAACACGUGAAAUUCCGUCGGAAUCUGGGAGGACCAUCUCCCAAGGCUAAAUACUCCCUAGUGAUCGAUAGUGAACCAGUACCGUGAGGGAAAGGUGAAAAGCACCCCGGAAGGGGAGUGAAAGAGAUCCUGAAACCGUGUGCCUACAAAUAGUCAGAGCCCGUUAACGGGUGAUGGCGUGCCUUUUGUAGAAUGAACCGGCGAGUUACGAUCCCGUGCGAGGUUAAGCUGAAGAGGCGGAGCCGCAGCGAAAGCGAGUCUGAAUAGGGCGUUUAGUACGUGGUCGUAGACCCGAAACCAGGUGAUCUACCCAUGUCCAGGGUGAAGUUCAGGUAACACUGAAUGGAGGCCCGAACCCACGCACGUUGAAAAGUGCGGGGAUGAGGUGUGGGUAGCGGAGAAAUUCCAAUCGAACCUGGAGAUAGCUGGUUCUCCCCGAAAUAGCUUUAGGGCUAGCCUUAAGUGUAAGAGUCUUGGAGGUAGAGCACUGAUUGGACUAGGGGUCCUCAUCGGAUUACCGAAUUCAGUCAAACUCCGAAUGCCAAUGACUUAUCCUUAGGAGUCAGACUGCGAGUGAUAAGAUCCGUAGUCAAAAGGGAAACAGCCCAGACCGCCAGCUAAGGUCCCAAAGUGUGUAUUAAGUGGAAAAGGAUGUGGAGUUGCUUAGACAACUAGGAUGUUGGCUUAGAAGCAGCCACCAUUUAAAGAGUGCGUAAUAGCUCACUAGUCGAGUGACUCUGCGCCGAAAAUGUACCGGGGCUAAAUACACCACCGAAGCUGCGGAUUGAUACCGAAUGGUAUCAGUGGUAGGGGAGCGUUCUAAGGACAGUGAAGUCAGACCGGAAGGACUGGUGGAGUGCUUAGAAGUGAGAAUGCCGGUAUGAGUAGCGAAAGACGGGUGAGAAUCCCGUCCACCGAAUGCCUAAGGUUUCCUGAGGAAGGCUCGUCCGCUCAGGGUUAGUCAGGACCUAAGCCGAGGCCGACAGGCGUAGGCGAUGGACAACAGGUUGAUAUUCCUGUACCACCUCUUUAUCGUUUGAGCAAUGGAGGGACGCAGAAGGAUAGAAGAAGCGUGCGAUUGGUUGUGCACGUCCAAGCAGUUAGGCUGAUAAGUAGGCAAAUCCGCUUAUCGUAAAGGCUGAGCUGUGAUGGGGAAGCUCCUUAUGGAGCGAAGUCUUUGAUUCCCCGCUGCCAAGAAAAGCUUCUAGCGAGAUAAAAGGUGCCUGUACCGCAAACCGACACAGGUAGGCGAGGAGAGAAUCCUAAGGUGUGCGAGAGAACUCUGGUUAAGGAACUCGGCAAAAUGACCCCGUAACUUCGGGAGAAGGGGUGCUUUCUUAACGGAAAGCCGCAGUGAAUAGGCCCAAGCGACUGUUUAGCAAAAACACAGCUCUCUGCGAAGCCGUAAGGCGAAGUAUAGGGGGUGACACCUGCCCGGUGCUGGAAGGUUAAGGAGAGGGGUUAGCGUAAGCGAAGCUCUGAACUGAAGCCCCAGUAAACGGCGGCCGUAACUAUAACGGUCCUAAGGUAGCGAAAUUCCUUGUCGGGUAAGUUCCGACCCGCACGAAAGGUGUAACGAUUUGGGCACUGUCUCAACCAGAGACUCGGUGAAAUUAUAGUACCUGUGAAGAUGCAGGUUACCCGCGACAGGACGGAAAGACCCCGUGGAGCUUUACUGUAGCCUGAUAUUGAAUUUUGGUACAGUUUGUACAGGAUAGGCGGGAGCCUUUGAAACCGGAGCGCUAGCUUCGGUGGAGGCGCUGGUGGGAUACCGCCCUGACUGUAUUGAAAUUCUAACCUACGGGUCUUAUCGACCCGGGAGACAGUGUCAGGUGGGCAGUUUGACUGGGGCGGUCGCCUCCUAAAGUGUAACGGAGGCGCCCAAAGGUUCCCUCAGAAUGGUUGGAAAUCAUUCGUAGAGUGCAAAGGCAUAAGGGAGCUUGACUGCGAGACCUACAAGUCGAGCAGGGACGAAAGUCGGGCUUAGUGAUCCGGUGGUUCCGCAUGGAAGGGCCAUCGCUCAACGGAUAAAAGCUACCCCGGGGAUAACAGGCUUAUCUCCCCCAAGAGUCCACAUCGACGGGGAGGUUUGGCACCUCGAUGUCGGCUCAUCGCAUCCUGGGGCUGUAGUCGGUCCCAAGGGUUGGGCUGUUCGCCCAUUAAAGCGGUACGCGAGCUGGGUUCAGAACGUCGUGAGACAGUUCGGUCCCUAUCCGUCGUGGGCGUAGGAAAUUUGAGAGGAGCUGUCCUUAGUACGAGAGGACCGGGAUGGACGCACCGCUGGUGUACCAGUUGUUCUGCCAAGGGCAUAGCUGGGUAGCUAUGUGCGGAAGGGAUAAGUGCUGAAAGCAUCUAAGCAUGAAGCCCCCCUCAAGAUGAGAUUUCCCAUAGCGUAAGCUAGUAAGAUCCCUGAAAGAUGAUCAGGUUGAUAGGUUCGAGGUGGAAGCAUGGUGACAUGUGGAGCUGACGAAUACUAAUAGAUCGAGGACUUAACCA